This 380-nucleotide ribosomal RNA is filed under the name uncultured eukaryote. Its description in RNAcentral is "partial 18S ribosomal RNA". It matches the Rfam family "Eukaryotic small subunit ribosomal RNA", at positions 592 to 976 of the family's 1831-position model. The record is from RNAcentral.
CAAUAGCGUAUAUUAAAGUUGUUGCGGUUAAAAAGCUCGUAGUUGGAUUUCUGCUGAGAACGACCGGUCCGCCCUUUGGGUGUGUAUCUGGCUCUUUCUUGGCAUCUUCUUGGUGAACGUUGCUGCACUUGACUGUGUGGAGCGCUACCCAGGACUUUUACUUUGAGGAAAUUAGAGUGUUUCAAGCAGGCAUACGCCUUGAAUACAUUAGCAUGGAAUAAUAAGAUAGGACCUCGGUUCUAUUUUGUUGGUUUCUAGAGCUGAGGUAAUGAUUAAUAGGGAUAGUUGGGGGCAUUCGUAUUUAACUGUCGGAGGUGAAAUUCUUGGAUUUGUUAAAGACGGACUACUGAGAAAGCAUUUGCCAAGGAUGUUUUCAUUGA